RNAcentral lists this ribosomal RNA (440 nucleotides) under uncultured bacterium. Its description in RNAcentral is "partial 16S ribosomal RNA". It matches the Rfam family "Bacterial small subunit ribosomal RNA", at positions 338 to 795 of the family's 1533-position model. The record is from RNAcentral.
CCUACGGGGGGCUGCAGUAGGGAAUAUUGCUCAAUGGGGGAAACCCUGAAGCAGCAACGCCGCGUGGAGGAUGAAGGUUUUCGGAUUGUAAACUCCUUUUGUUAGAGAAGAUAAUGACGGUAUCUAACGAAUAAGCACCGGCUAACUCCGUGCCAGCAGCCGCGGUACUAAGGAGGGUGCAGGCGUUACUCGGAAUCAAUGGGCGUAAAGAGCGCGUAGGCGGGAUAGCAAGUCAGAUGUGAAAUCCUAGGGGUUAACCAUAGAACUGCAUGUGAAACUGUUAUUCUAGAGUAUGGGAGAGGUAGGUGGAAUGAGUGGUGUAGGGGUAAAAUCCGUAGAGAUCAAGAGGAAUACUGAUUGCGAAGGCGACCUGCUAGAACAUAACUGACGCUGAUGCGCGAAAGCGUGGGGAGCAAACAGGAUUAGAUACCCUGGUAGUC